GCCAGGUAUGGACACACACCUGAAGGCCCAGCUACUUGGGAGGCUGAGGCAGGAGCAUCAUUUAAACCCAGGAGAUCAAGACCAGCCUGGGCAUCACAGUGAGACCCCGCCUCAU
This 115-nucleotide small RNA is filed under the name Marmota monax (woodchuck). Lineage: Eukaryota; Metazoa; Chordata; Mammalia; Rodentia; Sciuridae. The record is from RNAcentral.